Long non-coding RNA from Astatotilapia calliptera (eastern happy), 2476 nucleotides. NCBI's taxonomy places the organism in Eukaryota, Metazoa, Chordata, Actinopteri, Cichliformes, Cichlidae. The record is from Ensembl.
GAUGACACUAGUGUGUUUAAAUUCACAUACUGGAUGUAUGCAGAGUACAUUGUGAACUACAUGGUCUCUCUUGGAAAUGAGAUUUUUAAUCUCAAUGAGAUUUUUACCUGGAUAAAUAAAUAAAGGACUAACAUGAAAGUGCUGUGAUCCAAACUUUUAAACUCUGUGUACACAUGAUACUAUCAGCGUUAAGCACCACAGCCUAAAUAGCUCUGGACACGGAGCUUGCAAUCAUUCAUCCACAAAUAUCAUCAAUUUUCAAAACUUCUGCAUGUGUUUUCGGACUAUAAAUAUCAAGAAGUUGGGCAAAUGUCACAAACAUCUUGUUGAGAAAGAAAAAUCCUCGAAGAAUUAAAAAAAAAACAUUUACGUGGAGCUUCAAGAGGUUUCAUGCAAUUUGAAGAAAAACUGCAAACAAAAAGAUCUUAUUCAAACAUUAUUUAAAUCAUUUUGGUUACAUUUUAGCAUAGCAAGGGUCCAUUGUUCCACUGUAGGCAGAUACACUAUAUGGGCAAAAAUAUUGAUAUAAAAGUAUAAAGUGUAAGAAGUAAAGUGGGUAAAAGUCACCAAUGAUCUGCUGGUUCAAUAACUUCAGAGCUCCAAAUCUCUUCUGGGUUUAACAUCAGCACAAACACUGUGUGCCGGGAGCUUCAUGACACGCGCCUUUAUGGCCUAGCUGCUCCUGUAGGGUUCAUGUGUAGAUUUCCCAGUACUUUUGUCCAUAUAGUGUAUUACAUAGGCAGUAAAAAAGAGAUCUCAGUCAACCCAAGAACAUCUUAGCGAUUCAUACCACCACCUGAUUUACUUUAAUGAGCUGUGUUUGAGUCAAAAUUAUGCUGCAGCGUCCAAUUGUAAAAGAAAAGGAAACUUUUUUUUCCUUCUAAUUUGUGGAAAAUGUAUCCUUAAUAUUUAUUUUGUCAGUCCAACCAUUUUUUUAAAAUCAGCUGUUAAAAAAAACAUGCAAAUAGACAAGUAGACAAACAUCAGAUUUGUAAAUUUUGACACGAAUACAUGCAUUCCUUUUUAUUCACAAAACCAGUCCAAUUUUCUAAACAAAUACAAAGAUUGGUUAUUUUUAAAAGCUGUAGCUACCCAGCAACAUAACUAAAUCAUAAAAAUAUGACAAAUAAACAAAUAAAUUUAAAAAAAAAUGCUUGUCCCAGUGCUUUCAGUAGGGUAGACUCAGAGCAAGUGCUGUCUCUUAGUGCUUUUGCCCUGAGCAGUAUUGGCACAUGCUCAGUAGGGCCACAGUAACAAGGCUGCCAGUUUCACUAAAGGAACAGUUUGGAAAUGCAGAGGAGGGCUGAUUGAGGAGAUUACAGUAGUGACGGCUCUGGCGAACAACAUCUUCAAGCCAGCGAAGAAUCUCAGGUGAUCUGCCCAUUAACAUGACUUUUUUUUCUUUCUUUUUUUUUAAAAGUUUCAUUACAAUCCAAAAUGGACAGCACCACAAUUUGAAACAUUUUCUUGACUGUCAAAGGACAACCACUUAAAUCUUUCUGGAAAGUAAAAUGAAAUCAUAAAGAAGACGAGGGCUUUGAGUAACAUAAUGGUGAAGAAUUACAAUAAUGUUUACCAUUAGCCACUAGUUUUUAAAAUAUAGCUGUAAAUUUACAUUCUCUACACAAGUACUUUAUCUUUCCACACAUGAACAACAUUAACACCAAACACAGAAAUUAGUUGAUUGUCCACACUCAGUCCGUCAUUUCUGUUUCUGGCAAUGAGCAGUUCCAUGUUUAAGCGACAGAAAAAACCUGCUGGGAUAAGGACAAAAGGUACCAAAAUGGAAACAUAGAAAAGGGAAUGAAAGUUGCCAUAGAUGCUUUUCUUUACGUUUUCAUUUUUGGUUCAAGGAAUAAGUAGGUGCAUCCAUUAUCCGGCUGAUUUUUUUCCUCUUUUUUUCUGCUUUUAUUAGUUUAGUUUUUUUGUUUUUUGUUGGGGUUUUUUCUAUAAUUUUAUUUGUUGCUAGCUUGUUUAUUAGCCAGUGUCUGUUCCGGAGACAAUCCAGGAGUUGGCAUUGCACUUCAUGGCAGAGCUUUGGGUAGGGAGCGGAGGAGGAGGAGGAGUCCUACUGGAACCACCGGAACGCCGCUCCUGUAGGAAGCAUCACCUUCUUGGAGAAACAGAAGACAAAGAGGGAGGAAAAAGGGGGGAAGGGGAUGGGAGAGGAGAGGAGCAGAUAGGGGAAGAGCAGAGAGAAGAUGCGGGUGUAGUUGUUAAUGAAAAGCAACACAUUCUAUUUGGCAUUGCAAAGAUAAUGUCAAGUCCACCACUUAACUGCUAAACAUUUUUCGAAACUUGAAAAUCGAGGCGUGUCUAAUGUUUCCCUCCAGUUAACAGAGAGUUCCUCUGCCUCAUUUUUGGGCACCAACCAGUGAUUAGUUAAUGAAACAGUGAUUGCUUAAUGCAUGAAGUAAAAUUGUUUGCUACCAGAGGCCAUAGUGUGACAACUUGUUGAGAUUCAAUUAGCAAUCUC